Molecule: long non-coding RNA, 406 nt
Filed under: Bos grunniens (domestic yak)
Lineage: Eukaryota; Metazoa; Chordata; Mammalia; Artiodactyla; Bovidae
Description: lncRNA (ENSBGRG00000017608.1)
Source: RNAcentral
CUAAACAUUUUAAGAGGGCAGCUAACUGCUUCAAGGCCAGCACGGGAGACAAUUUCUCCACUCAACUACUAUGGGGUCUUAUAUAGCAUCAUGUCAUCAUGGGAGUAACAUCUCCUUUGCCAUAUAAGGCGGAUUCUUUACCACUGAGCUACCUGAGAAGCCCAUACAAGUUUUACCUCAAGGCAAAAUAAGAGACUUAAGAGAAAGCACAUAAAUCACUUUUAGACCACCAAACAUGGUUAAAUAAAGAGAUAUGUUCUGUACAAUGACUGGGGUGAAUGGUGAUUUCAAGAUAAGUGAAACUAAUUUUUAAUAAAUUUCAUUGUGGAAUAAUUUUAUACAUAAUAAACUAUAUCUGUUUCAGGUGUACAUUUUGAUAAAUUUUGAUAAUUGUUAUGAAACAACC